CCUACGGGAGGCAGCAGUGGGGAAUAUUGGACAAUGGGCGGAAGCCUGAUCCAGCAACGCCGCGUGAGGGAUGACGGCCUUCGGGUUGUAAACCUCUUUCAGCACAGACGAAGCGCAAGUGACGGUAUGUGCAGAAGAAGGACCGGCCAACUACGUGCCAGCAGCCGCGGUAAUACGUAGGGUCCGAGCGUUGUCCGGAAUUAUUGGGCGUAAAGGGCUCGUAGGCGGUUUGUCGCGUCGGGAGUGAAAACACCGGGCUUAACUCGGUGCUUGCUUUCGAUACGGGCAGACUAGAGGCAUUCAGGGGAGAACGGAAUUCCUGGUGUAGCGGUGAAAUGCGCAGAUAUCAGGAGGAACACCGGUGGCGAAGGCGGUUCUCUGGGAAUGUCCUGACGCUGAGGAGCGAAAGUGUGGGGAGCGAACAGGAUUAGAUACCCUGGUAGUCCACACCGUAAACGUUGGGCGCUAGGUGUGGGAUCCAUUCCACGGGUUCCGUGCCGCAGCUAACGCAUUAAGCGCCCCGCCUGGGGAGUACGGCCGCAAGGCUAAAACUCAAAUGAAUUGACGG
RNAcentral lists this ribosomal RNA (568 nucleotides) under actinobacterium ICS20435. Its description in RNAcentral is "bacterial SSU rRNA". It matches the Rfam family "Bacterial small subunit ribosomal RNA", at positions 338 to 916 of the family's 1533-position model. The record is from RNAcentral. Lineage: Bacteria; Bacillati; Actinomycetota; Actinomycetes.